RNAcentral lists this ribosomal RNA (468 nucleotides) under uncultured bacterium. RNAcentral describes it as "partial 16S ribosomal RNA". It matches the Rfam family "Bacterial small subunit ribosomal RNA", at positions 28 to 507 of the family's 1533-position model. The record is from RNAcentral.
GACGAACGCUGGCGGCGUGCUUAACACAUGCAAGUCGAACGGAAAGGCCCUGCUUUUGUGGGGUGCUCGAGUGGCGAACGGGUGAGUAACACGUGAGUAACCUGCCCUUGACUUUGGGAUAACUUCAGGAAACUGGGGCUAAUACCGGAUAGGAGCUCCUGCUGCAUGGUGGGGGUUCGAAAGUUUCGGCGGUUGGGGAUGGACUCGCGGCUUAUCAGCUUGUUGGUGGGGUAGUGGCUUACCAAGGCUUUGACGGGUAGCCGGCCUGAGAGGGUGACCGGCCACAUUGGGACUGAGAUACGGCCCAGACUCCUACGGGAGGCAGCAGUGGGGAAUACUGCACAAUGGGCGGAAGCCUGAUGCAGCAACGCCGCGUGCGGGAUGACGGCCUUCGGGUUGUAAACCGCUUUCGCCUGUGACGAAGCGUGAGUGACGGUAAUGGGUAAAGAAGCACCGGCUAACUACGUG